RNAcentral lists this transfer RNA (73 nucleotides) under Phrynocephalus guttatus alpherakii. RNAcentral's name for it is "tRNA-Gln". It matches the Rfam family "tRNA". From Rfam's summary of the family: Transfer RNA (tRNA) molecules are approximately 80 nucleotides in length. Their secondary structure includes four short double-helical elements and three loops (D, anti-codon, and T loops). Further hydrogen bonds mediate the characteristic L-shaped molecular structure. tRNAs have two regions of fundamental functional importance: the anti-codon, which is responsible for specific mRNA codon recognition, and the 3' end, to which the tRNAs corresponding amino acid is attached (by aminoacyl-tRNA synthetases). tRNAs cope with the degeneracy of the genetic code in two manners: having more than one tRNA (with a specific anti-codon) for a particular amino acid; and 'wobble' base-pairing, i.e. permitting non-standard base-pairing at the 3rd anti-codon position. Lineage: Eukaryota; Metazoa; Chordata; Lepidosauria; Squamata; Agamidae. The record is from RNAcentral. RNAcentral also lists the same sequence under 3 other names.
UAGAGAAUAGUAUAAGGUGGUAGUGCAAAAAAUUUUGGAUUUUUUUAUGGAGGUUCGAGUCCUCUUUCUCUAG